Molecule: long non-coding RNA, 469 nt
Organism: Pyrus x bretschneideri (Chinese white pear)
Lineage: Eukaryota; Viridiplantae; Streptophyta; Magnoliopsida; Rosales; Rosaceae
Exons: 2
Source: RefSeq, a predicted model, not a curated record
CUCAUAUGUUAUAUCUCAAGAACAAAACUAAAAAGCUACCCAUGUCAAAAUGAACACCAAAGUACAUCUAUAUCCAACAAACGAGAAAAUAAUUCGAAGGAUUAAACCUUGCAAGCCAGUGAAUUAUAUCACACUGCACCACCACAAGGCAAAGAUUCUGAUAAUCUUACAAUCGUUGAAAGAGAAGCAUUGUUAUAAGGCACUUUAGUAAUCCAUGACCACUACAGCAAAGCUUUCCUCACCAGAGCAAGAGAGUGACAACAACCAUGAGGGCUCUCCCCUCAACAUAGCCAAAAAGAGCAACCACAAUUAGGAGGUGGAGAUGGUUAGAAGAUUGAAGUAACUAGAGGGGAAGAAAGAUUGUCACCGAUGGCGUCAAGGCCAAAGGCAAGAGUCUGUUUUGAUUUUAUCCUUUUUUCUCUCUAUCAGUUAAUAUUUUUUCUCUCUAUAUUGUAUAUAAUUUUAAGCA